This 900-nucleotide long non-coding RNA is filed under the name Equus caballus (horse). RNAcentral's name for it is "lncRNA (ENSECAG00000055892.1)". Lineage: Eukaryota; Metazoa; Chordata; Mammalia; Perissodactyla; Equidae. The record is from RNAcentral.
GUAGGCUAGAACCACUUUGAGGGCAAGGACAGAAACUUCUACUUCUUUGCCUCCCCAAAUACUAGCUUGGUCUCUUGAAAAGAGUCAAUAUAUACUUAGGGAUGAUUGAAUUAUUGAUUUCUAAAUGGGCAGUCCUGGGUGUUGGUAUGGUCAGGAGGAAACAGAGAGAUCCCACGGAGGAGAAGUCUGUGUGUCAUGGUUUGCCAAGCAGUGCCAUGUCCACACCCAGGAUCCAAACCGGCGAACACCGGGCCACUGAAGCGGAACGUGCAAACCUAACCUCUGGGCCAUCGGGCCGGCCCCCAUACCAGCUAGUUUUUAUGGAGCGCUAUAGCAGAUGGUGUGGAUGCCUCAUCUCUGACCUCACCUCCAGCCACAGGGAACAGCUUCUGUGCACACUGGAAACUUCUUAUCUUAAGUGUCCAAGUCUCUUUGUUUCUCUUCUUGCAACCAAAAAAGUUUGUUCAGCUCAUGUGCAAGGCUGCUAGAAGUGCUGAAAAUUAAUGCUCUAGGGUCAACUCUUAAGCAACGAGGGCUGAAAGUCAGUGAAUAAAUACGCCGCUUCACCAUCCCUUGGUCGGAUAAUUCUGAAGGAUGCUUCUCAGAGGGUCUUCAGCAGGACUGAGCCCCAGCUGCCCACAGUGGCAAUCAGCUCACCGAUGCACACUUCAUUGGCAUUCCUCCCUCCCCUGCCUUGCUUCUCCCGCUUUUGUUUCUUGGGAUCAUCUUCUCAAUAAAAUACUUAACCCAGGAUUGCCUCAGGCUUUUCUUUCCAAGGAAUCCAGAGGUAGGUGAGCACAUUGUGACUAAGGCACCAUGUUAGAACAGAGAAACUCUCAAAGAUCUGGUAAUGGAGACAGAGAGGACUAAGAAAAAAUUCAUCACCAGCAGAAUGUGCCC